Molecule: long non-coding RNA, 476 nt
Filed under: Physcomitrium patens
Lineage: Eukaryota; Viridiplantae; Streptophyta; Bryopsida; Funariales; Funariaceae
Description: long non-coding RNA (PPAT_LNC011395)
Source: RNAcentral
CUAAAAAAUAUUAAAAUAAUUCUAAAUAUAUCUUAAAUAAAUUUCAAUCAAGUUCUAAUUUAAUCCUAUUUAAAUCCUAAUAGAUUUUAAUCAAACUCUAGAAAAAUCCUAAAUCCUAAAUCAAUCCCUAUAUCAAAUCUUAGAUUAAAUCCUAGAUCCUAAACCAAAUCCUAAAUCAAAUCUUCAAUCAAAUCCUAAAUAAAUCCUAAAUCAAAUCUAAAAUCAAAUCCUAAAUAAAUUUUGAGCCUUAAAUUUAAUCCUAAAUCAAAUCCUAAAAAAAUCCUAAACUUAAACCAAAUCCUAGAUUAAACCUUAGACAAACCCUAAAACUAAAACAAAUCCUAGAUCAAAUCUUAGAUCCUAAAUCAAACUUUAACCCUACUCAAUUUAAUCCUAAUAUAGUUUAGAAUCUCAAUAUCUAUCAAUUAAACCAUUAAUCUUACUUAAAAAUUUAUACACCUUUUAUAAACUAAAUU